Glossina fuscipes is the source of this 3995-nucleotide long non-coding RNA. RefSeq lists it as uncharacterized. The record is from RefSeq and is a predicted model, not a curated record. Lineage: Eukaryota; Metazoa; Arthropoda; Insecta; Diptera; Glossinidae. The transcript is spliced from 4 exons.
AGAACACAAGUCGAUGUCGAAUCCGUAUAUUUCUUUAAAAUAUUGUUUCUUUCGAAAAAUAUAUUCCAGAUAUUUCUUCGUUGACAUUUACUAUUUUCCUUCCUUCUACAUUAAAGAUAAGUUUAUCUCUCUUAAUCUAAAACCCUAGCACCACGAUCAUUGUAACUACACCAACCAGACCGAAACGUCCACUCUUUUCCUCACCCCGCGAUCAACUCACUUUCUCUAACUUACUCUAGCACUGACUAACCUGACUAAACUUCGGCUUAAACUAAUUCUUAAUUUCUUCUGAUUUCUCUUUCCUCUAAUUUCUUCUUAUUUAAUCCUAACUCUCUUAGCCUUAUUUACUCUAGCACUCCCGUCAGAGACGAAGAACCUGUGAGGCCAAAACGAGGGAUGACUUUGGUUCCUUACAGUGUGUUCGUUUGUCCGUUGUGGCAUUAUCCUAUCUUCUGUCAUUCACUUAUCAUACACAAACUUGCCACCUUCUGUUUCUUUCAGACAAAAAAGAAUUAUUUAUAUAUACCUGUAUUAAUUGUAAAACGAAAUGAAAAAAAAGCUAGUACUUAUCUUAAUCGAAAGAACUUUUUCCAUGCACGUUGUGAACCAUAUCUCAAGGUACUCAUCUUGGCAUUCUAACGUUGAUAGGCACGAACACUCUUGUUAGUCGCCUUUUAAGGCAAGCACUUGUUACUACCAUCAAAGUCUCCUUUUUUCGUUUAUUAUCAUAGUUUCACUUUUUCAACAAAGUUUUUCUUCAUUAGGUUCAAGUUUCAAUACAAUAAUAUAUGUUGAAUGUAUGUAUGCACGGCGUAAAUAGAACAGACAAAAAGAAGAUAAUUGCUAAAAGCUAAAAUUAGUCUAAGUAACUCAAAAUAAAGAUGAAUAAAAGGAACUUUAAAAGUUAAAUAAUUAAAAAUGUAAUACAACUACCAUAAAACCAAAACAAAAAAAAAAAUGCAAUAAUCCUCUUCUUCAAUCAACUUCAAUCCUCUGUAAACGGCCCCAGGAUGCGGCAAGGUCCCCGAGUAGAAGUAGUCAAAAGAGACUACCACUCCAAGGAAAUGCCGAGGCGAAGCACUGAAUCAGUGCAGCAACUACAACCAGAAAGGAGAGUCAAAAGCAAAAUUUCCAGCAACGAACUCAUUAAUAAUGCCAGCAACCAUAAUAUUAAUCUUUAAAGAUAACUUUAGAUGAUUUAUUCAGCUAAAGAUUUUAUUUCAAAAGCACUCCAAAAACACUUCGCGACAGUAAACAUUUUUUCUAAGUAAAAACGUAAUUAACAAAAACAAUUAGGUAGAACAACCGAUAUCAGAAGUUAAAGACUUAAUUAUGCCCAAUCAAUCUAUACUUCAUGAGACAUCGAUCUAAAUGAACUCGAUUCAAUCGCAACCAUAACUUAAACUCUUACAGAACUUUUGUGAAAACCAGACGAAUUUAGCUCGUGGAAGAAAAGUGUCGAAACUACACUAGAAAUAUAUAUAUAUCAUUUGAAAGGUAGCCCAAAAUAUUAUGGCAUAUUAAUCCUAAGAAACAAAAUAGUAGGACAAGCGGGCGAAGCUCUUAAAUCCUGCAAUACACCACUAAACUGGAAGAAGAUAUCAAAGUGCUUAACAACGGAGUUAUUGGCGUUUUGUUUAGUUGACCCGGCAUGAGAGAACCAGCGAAUUUACCACAAGCAUUACAUCUAAACUUCAGAAUGCGAGCUACUGGAGGCAUUAUGUCAAUACUAGACAAGCUACAAGUCGUAGAAACCUCGCAUCACUUUUACCCCUAAAACGGAAUUGCUAACUUAUUUCAGAACCAGCAAAAACCACCUCCAUCUUUCCAAAGGCAGUAUCAGGCACCAACAAUUAAGAGACAAUAUUAUUGAGGACAACCAUCUGAGCGAAUACUACACACACGCACAAAAACGGGAAUCUUCGUAGCAAUGCUAAAGAAUGUUCCAAGUGACACAAAUGCUUCAACAUAACGUACGAGCAGGAAGUAGAUGGAGAAAACAUAGCAGAAACAAAUUUAGAUUAAACUUGACGAAUAAAUGUGUGACUAUAUACGACUAUAUGUGACGAAUAUAUGAAUACUGAAAGAGCGAUGAAGAUGAAGAAUUUAUGCUUAAUGAAGAAAUUUGGUUACAAUAAAAAGAAGCGUACAUUCCAAUUUGCUGGAGUUGCCAAAGAUUUUCUCCCAGUUAAUUGCAUAGAAUCGAUAUUGCGUAAAAUUUCACUGUUAAAAAAGGAGAAUAUAUAAUAUGUACGCACCUGAUCGCUCCUAAGGGAAAUCAUGUAAACCGCAAUACAAAUUUUUAUAUUUAAACAAUCCUCGUUCCAAGUAAAUUCUAAUAGAUUGGCGAAAAUGCUCUCCCAUACCUAUAGGUGGUUUUACUUGUCACUUCGAGGUAAGCAGGUAUAAAGCGUCGCGUGGGGUCUUAUUAUUUAGCUUACUUCUUGUGGGAUAUAAGAGGACAUUUCCAAUAUCCUGUACAGUGAAUAAAACGCAUUUAAGACAUUACAUUUGUAAUAAGUCGCGGAAGGGAGGCGAUGCAUCGUUUGCCUGCGAAAACUUAUUUGUGAAACGAGGUUGUAAAUGUUCAGACUUGUCUAAGGCGAUAUGUCAAACAUCGUUUCAGAUAUCUUAGUCGGCGAUUUGGAUGAUCACGACAUUUUGUCGCACGCUGCAGAGUAGCCCACAUGCAACGGUUUUGCAAAUGCAAGGGACCUAGGAAUCCACUAUUGGCCCCUGCGGAACGCUUUAAACAUCUUUAAAUAUAUAUAAGAGGUAUAUCUAAGAGAUACACUUGAGAACUAUAGAGGAAUCGCCAAGUUGAGUGUCUUUCAUAAAUUGUUUGAACGAAUUGUUACGUAGCAUUUAGCUUUUGUUAUCAAGUCUUUUAUAUCUCCAUUCCUUUCUGAAAAGGACGACUGAAGCAGUAAACAACACCUGUUAAUUUUGAAUCAUGACAUCAUUUAGGUGUCCGCAAACAACUCUGACUGGAUUAAACAGUUCAUAAUUCUGUUUCCACUGACUAAGCUUAAUGAAAAUAAAGUGCCUAGAAAAGCGAUUAGAGGCAUUAAAGGUUAUCGCACCAAAUAACGUGGGCAAAUUUACUUAACUUAAUUAGAAAGGAAACACCAAGAAUAAAUCUACGUUCCCCAAGCGAUAGAAUGGAUAACAGAAGCAACCAAUUCUCAUAAGGAGGUAAGGAGACAAGAAUGUCUCAACACAAAUUCCUAAGGGCAAACAGCAAAAAUUGCUUUUGAACUGAUUCAAUAGAAUCCAGAUAACUUCUAUAAGAAGGGGACCAUACAGGUGAGGAAUACAUAAAGUAUUGGUUUAACUAAGCACAUUGUAACAUUUAAAUUAAACAAAUAUUUACUUGUGCUGUCAGUACUCUAAAGUGUAAAGCUGCUAUCUAUAGGAGGUUUAGGGCAACCUUGCGGUACCAAUUGAAGAGGAAUGGAGACCUAUGAUCCUAGUGUAUGUGCAAAAGCUGAGCUAGCUGGUCCAAAAGAUGUGGGAGGGAUUCUUACCGAAUAUCAGAUGGACGAAACUCUAACCAACCGAUUGGCCUAGGCCUAUUCUAUACCUAUCCUGCCUAUCGGUCUCCCUUCGGCCCAUAGAAAGGUUAGGGGGGACCCCGAAGUUGAGUCCGAAGACCUCUCUAAUCUACGUUCUUCUCAUAAUUAAAAUCGGUUUUAUUUUAAUUUGUUUUUGUUUUCUCCCAUGUUACAGUUAUACUUAUUUGAAUAAUAUAUUUCACAUUUAUCGUUAACGUUAAUUUACUAUUGGUAUCUCUUUUAAUUUAAUGAUAAAAAUAAAAGUAACGUAAAAAAAAUAAAUCAAAUAUAAUACGGGUAUAAGUAUAUUACAGAUCAGUGAACUUUAAAAUUAUUAAUUAUUCAUAAAUUUCUCCCUAUAUAGAUGUGGCCACAACUUAAAUGUUCAUAUUGUUACGAAAAUCCCUAAUCUAGUUCAUUCCAGCUAUGUCAUUUUCCCAA